RNAcentral lists this ribosomal RNA (372 nucleotides) under uncultured organism. RNAcentral describes it as "partial 16S ribosomal RNA". It matches the Rfam family "Bacterial small subunit ribosomal RNA", at positions 527 to 896 of the family's 1533-position model. The record is from RNAcentral.
GUAGGUGGCAAGCGUUGUCCGGAAUUAUUGGGCGUAAAGCGCGCGCAGGCGGUCCUUUAAGUCUGAUGUGAAAGCCCACGGCUCAACCGUGGAGGGUCAUUGGAAACUGGGGGACUUGAGUACAGAAGAGGAAAGCGGAAUUCCACGUGUAGCGGUGAAAUGCGUAGAGAUGUGGAGGAACACCAGUGGCGAAGGCGGCUUUCUGGUCUGUAACUGACGCUGAGGCGCGAAAGCGCGGGGAGCAAACAGGAUUAGAUACCCUGGUAGUCCACGCCGUAAACGAUGAGUGCUAAGUGUUAGGGGGUUUCCGCCCCCCUUAGUGCUGCAGCUAACGCAUUAAGCACUCCGCCUGGGAGUACGGCCGCAAGGCUG